This 576-nucleotide ribosomal RNA is filed under the name uncultured bacterium. RNAcentral's name for it is "bacterial SSU rRNA". It matches the Rfam family "Bacterial small subunit ribosomal RNA", at positions 102 to 678 of the family's 1533-position model. The record is from RNAcentral.
ACGGGUGAGUAAUAGGUAGGAACAUGCCCUUCAGAGGGGGAUAACCGAGGGAAACCUUGGCUAAUACCGCAUAAUCUCGAGAGAGUAAAGCUGCCCGCAAGGGUGGCACUGAAGGAGUGGCCUGCGUCCGAUUAGCUAGUUGGUGGGGUAAGAGCUCACCAAGGCGAUGAUCGGUAACUGGUCUGAGAGGACGACCAGUCACACUGGGACUGAGACACGGCCCAGACUCCUACGGGAGGCAGCAGUGGGGGAUCUUGGACAAUGGGGGAAACCCUGAUCCAGCGAUGCCGCGUGGGUGAAGAAGGCCUUCGGGUUGUAAAGCCCUUUAGGCUGGGAAGAAGUUUGGUGGAUGAAUAAGCCAUCAGAUUGACGGUACCAGCAGAAUAAGCACCGGCAAACUCUGUGCCAGCAGCCGCGGUAAUACAGAGGGUGCGAGCGUUAAUCGGAAUUACUGGGCGUAAAGGGCGCGUAGGCGGUUUAAUGAGUGUGAUGUGAAAGCCCCGGGCUUAACCUGGGAAGUGCAUUGCAAACGAUUGAACUGGAGUAGUGGAGAGGGUGGCGGAAUUUCCGGUGUAG